This 1369-nucleotide long non-coding RNA is filed under the name Brassica napus (rape). RNAcentral describes it as "long non-coding RNA (BNAP_LNC006480)". The record is from RNAcentral. Lineage: Eukaryota; Viridiplantae; Streptophyta; Magnoliopsida; Brassicales; Brassicaceae.
UCAGCUUUGAGUCAAACACCAUGCUCCUUCUUUUGCUUACUACAAGCUAGCCUUCAACAUAAGCACUCUUCUAUCCGUUUGCAGCCACAUCUUGCUCUUAAUGUCUUCUUCUUAACCCAACUACUGUUUUUCAUUAAACCACAAUCUCAAUGAAUCUUCAGCAAAAUAACUUCUCUUUAGCAUUUCAUCAAGCAUCUGGUGUGCAUCCGUCAAACCAGGAACUUUCAACCAUAAAUCCCAUCUUUAUCGAACCCAAAACAAGCCUAUUCAAGCACCAUUCCAACUAACCUCUUAAUUCCAGACUUAGUCUAUGCUAGUCAUCAUCUGAACCAGCCAACAAAGCACCGAACCAGCAAUGUCCUAUCAAACUAUUACUACAAGGCAAUACUCUAUGUUCUGUUCUGUCUUAGAACAAAGAAAUUACCUUGGAUCGAGUACACGCUGGAUUUUCUGCCCAUGAUCUCUGAUUUUUUUUUUUUUUUUUUUUUUUUUUUUUUUUUUUUGAUGUGAUGUCACGGCUUCGCUCAAUGCUUCACCAAAUUUUCAAAACCCAUCUCUUUUCUUUGUUGUAUCUGGCAUUGAUACAAGCAAGCUCUGAGUAAGAUGACCAUAGUCUCCGACGCGUUACCACAACCCUGCUGACGUGAAGCUUUUGUGUGAUGUUUCUUUAGACCCACUUUGCUUGAAGCUCCAGGAAGAGGACGACAUGUUUUAGAGACGGAGACGAGUUGAUAAUCUCUGAGCGAGCUUGAACAUAAUUUCCAGAUCAUGAGAUGUCUGAUUUAGAUAGAAGCCGAAAAUAACUUCACUGUUUUAAACACAAAGGAUGGAGCUUGACUACGAUUUGGCUUCAACGGGUUCUCAGAAACGGCAGUGAAGUGACGACUUCAAAAAUCUGAAUGCUUUAGUGGGGAUAGAGUAAGCGGAAGCUAGAAGAGGAAAAGAGAUACUCCCAAUAAAUCGACUGAAGCUCUGCUACCAUGUGAAUAAACUGAAAACAAGAUAGAUUCUGCUCAUAAGAGUAAGAGGAAAAGAGAUACUCCCAAUAAAUCGACUGAAGCUCUGCUACCAUGUGAAUAAACUGAAAACAAGAUAGAUUCUGCUCACAAGAGCUUAUUGAGACAGAAAAUGAAAUAGCUUUAAGAAGCUUUAUUGUGCAAUGAAACUAAAGAAAGGAAGAAUCUUUAGGCUUGUCACCAAAAUAAGUAAGAUUGUAAAUGAUUCAUAAAUAUGAAAGGAGAGGCUGCAUUCAACGCAGCCAAAGUUACCGACACUAACCAUCUAACAACAUAUAUAUAGUCCUAAGGAAUCCUAGUUACAUGGUUAACAAACACUUCAUAUUGGAUCAUAAUAUGGGCCUUGGUGUGGG